GAUGAACGCUAGCUACAGGCUUAACACAUGCAAGUCGCAGGGUAACAUGAGGAAAGCUUGCUUUCCUUGAUGACGACUGGCGCACGGGUGAGUAACGCGUAUCCAACCUUCCCAUAACUACGGGAUAACCCGUUGAAAGACGGCCUAAUACCGUAUGAUAUCGUUUGCUGACAUCAAAUAACGAUUAAAGGUUUAGCGGUUAUGGAUGGGGAUGCGGCUGAUUAGCUUGUUGGCGGGGUAACGGCCCACCAAGGCGACGAUCAGUAGGGGUUCUGAGAGGAAGGUCCCCCACAUUGGAACUGAGACACGGGCCAAACUCCUACGGGAGGCAGCAGUGAGGAAUAUUGGUCAAUGGGCGAGAGCCUGAACCAGCCAAGUAGCGUGCAGGACGACGGCCCUAUGGGUUGUAAACUGCUUUUAGGUGGGGAUAAAGUGCGUGACGUGUCAUGCAUUGCAGGUACCACAUGAAUAAGGACCGGCUAAUUCCGUG
Molecule: ribosomal RNA, 490 nt
Filed under: uncultured bacterium
Lineage: Bacteria
Description: partial 16S ribosomal RNA
Rfam family: Bacterial small subunit ribosomal RNA
Source: RNAcentral